RNAcentral lists this ribosomal RNA (301 nucleotides) under uncultured bacterium. RNAcentral describes it as "partial 16S ribosomal RNA". It matches the Rfam family "Bacterial small subunit ribosomal RNA", at positions 509 to 809 of the family's 1533-position model. The record is from RNAcentral.
CAGUCGCCGCGGUAAUGCGAAGGGUGCAAGCGUUAAUCGGAAUUACUGGGCGUAAAGCGUGCGUAGGCGGUGAGUUAAGUCUGCUGUGAAAUCCCCGGGCUCAACCUGGGAAUGGCAGUGGAUACUGGCUCGCUAGAGUGUGUCAGAGGAUGGUGGAAUUCCCGGUGUAGCGGUGAAAUGCGUAGAGAUCGGGAGGAACAUCAGUGGCGAAGGCGGCCAUCUGGGACAACACUGACGCUGAGGCACGAAAGCGUGGGGAGCAAACAGGAUUAGAUACCCCGGUAGUCCCUGUCUCUUAUAA